CAGCAGUGAGGAAUAUUGGUCAAUGGCCGCAAGGCUGAACCAGCCAAGUAGCGUGAAGGAUGACCGCCCUACGGGUCGUAAACUUCUUUUAUAAAGGAAUAAAGUCACCUACGUGUAGGUGUUUGUAUGUACUUUAUGAAUAAGCAUCGGCUAACUCCGUGCCAGCAGCCGCGGUAAUACGGAGGAUGCGAGCGUUAUCCGGAUUUAUUGGGUUUAAAGGGAGCGCAGACGGGCGAUUAAGUCAGCUGUGAAAUGCCGCGGCUCAACCGUGGAAUUGCAGUUGAUACUGGUGGUCUUGAGUGCGGUUGAGGCAGGCGGAAUUCGUGGUGUAGCGGUGAAAUGCUUAGAUAUCACGAAGAACCCCGAUUGCGAAGGCAGCCUGCCAAGCCGUUACUGACGUUCAUGCUCGAAGGUGCGGGUAUCAAACAGGAUUAGA
RNAcentral lists this ribosomal RNA (436 nucleotides) under uncultured Bacteroides sp. RNAcentral describes it as "bacterial SSU rRNA". It matches the Rfam family "Bacterial small subunit ribosomal RNA", at positions 349 to 782 of the family's 1533-position model. The record is from RNAcentral. Lineage: Bacteria; Pseudomonadati; Bacteroidota; Bacteroidia; Bacteroidales; Bacteroidaceae.